UGGGGAAUAUUGCACAAUGGGGGAAACCCGUGAUGCAGCGACGCCGCGUGGAGGAAGAAGGUCUUCGGAUUGUAAACUCCUGUUGUUGGGGAAGGAUAAUGACGGUACCCAACAAGGAAGUGACGGCUAACUACGUGCCAGCAGCCGCGGUAAAACGUAGGUCACAAGCGUUGUCCGGAAUUACUGGGUGUAAAGGGAGCGCAGGCGGGAAGACAAGUUGGAAGUGAAAUCCAUGGGCUCAACUCAUGAACUGCUUUCAAAAACUGUUUUUCUUGAGUAGUGCAGAGGUAGGCGGAAUUCCCGGUGUAGCGGUGGAAUGCGUAGAUAUCGGGAGGAA
Molecule: ribosomal RNA, 337 nt
Filed under: uncultured Faecalibacterium sp.
Lineage: Bacteria; Bacillati; Bacillota; Clostridia; Eubacteriales; Oscillospiraceae
Description: bacterial SSU rRNA
Rfam family: Bacterial small subunit ribosomal RNA
Source: RNAcentral